UACGUAGGGUCCGAGCGUUGUCCGGAAUUACUGGGCGUAAAGAGCUCGUAGGUGGUUUGUCGCGUUGUUCGUGAAAACUCACGGCUUAACUGUGGGCGUGCGGGCGAUACGGGCAGACUAGAGUACUGCAGGGGAGACUGGAAUUCCUGGUGUAGCGGUGAAAUGCGCAGAUAUCAGGAGGAACACCGGUGGCGAAGGCGGGUCUCUGGGCCGAUGACUGACGCUGAGGAGCGAAAGCGUGGGGAGCGAACAGG
RNAcentral lists this ribosomal RNA (254 nucleotides) under uncultured bacterium. Its description in RNAcentral is "partial 16S ribosomal RNA". It matches the Rfam family "Bacterial small subunit ribosomal RNA", at positions 524 to 776 of the family's 1533-position model. The record is from RNAcentral.